Molecule: ribosomal RNA, 468 nt
Filed under: uncultured bacterium
Lineage: Bacteria
Description: partial 16S ribosomal RNA
Rfam family: Bacterial small subunit ribosomal RNA
Source: RNAcentral
GACGAACGCUGGCGGCGUGCUUAACACAUGCAAGUCGAACGGAAAGGCCCUGCUUUUGUGGGGUGCUCGAGUGGCGAACGGGUGAGUAACACGUGAGUAACCUGCCCUUGACUUUGGGAUAACUUCAGGAAACUGGGGCUAAUACCGGAUAGGAGCUCCUGCUGCAUGGUGGGGGUUGGAAAGUUUCGGCGGUUGGGGAUGGACUCGCGGCUUAUCAGCUUGUUGGUGGGGUAGUGGCUUACCAAGGCUUUGACGGGUAGCCGGCCUGGGAGGGUGACCGGCCACAUUGGGACUGAGAUACGGCCCAGACUCCUACGGGAGGCAGCAGUGGGGAAUAUUGCACAAUGGGCCGAAGCCUGAUGCAGCAACGCCGCGUGCGGGAUGACGGCCUUCGGGUUGUAAACCGCUUUCGCCUGUGACGAAGCGUGAGUGACGGUAAUGGGUAAAGAAGCACCGGCUAACUACGUG